CGUAACACGUGAGCAACUUGCCGAUAUCUGGGGGAUAGCCGGCCCAACGGCCGGCUAAUACCGCAUACGCUCUUUGAGUGGAGUCACUUGAAGAGGAAACCUCCGGGGGAAAUCGAGGAGCUCGCGGCCUAUCAGCUAGUUGGCGGGGUAACGGCCCACCAAGGCGACGACGGGUAGCUGGUCUGAGAGGAUGGCCAGCCACAUUGGGACUGAGAGACGGCCCAGACUCCUACGGGAGGCAGCAGUGGGGAAUCUUGCGCAAUCGCCGAAAGGCUGACGCAGCGACGCCGCGUGUGGGAUGACGCCUUUCGGGGUGUAAACCACUGUUGCCCGGGACGAACUGCCUUUCGAGAGGCUUGACGGUACCGGGUGAGGAAGCACCGGCUAACUCCGUGCCAGCAGCCGCGGUAAUACGGAGGGUGCGAGCGUUGUCCGGAAUCACUGGGCGUAAGGGCGCGUAGGCGGCCCGGCAAGUCAGUGGUGAAAGCCCGAGGCUCGACUUCGGGUCGGCCACUGAUACUGCUAGGCAUGAGUCGACUAGAGGCAGAUGGAAUUCC
Molecule: ribosomal RNA, 557 nt
Filed under: uncultured bacterium
Lineage: Bacteria
Description: bacterial SSU rRNA
Rfam family: Bacterial small subunit ribosomal RNA
Source: RNAcentral